Gallus gallus (chicken) is the source of this 586-nucleotide long non-coding RNA. RefSeq lists it as uncharacterized. The transcript is spliced from 3 exons. The record is from RefSeq and is a predicted model, not a curated record. NCBI's taxonomy places the organism in Eukaryota, Metazoa, Chordata, Aves, Galliformes, Phasianidae.
ACUGUUUGUAUUGUUGUUGUUCUACAGGUAAAUAGAAACCAGGGUUUCCAUGUACCAUCAACGCAUGUCAAGUCAAAAGCUCUUUCUGCUCUGAAAUAUACAGUCCGUUCCCUUUUUGCUACAGCUCUACGUAAGAGACAUGGAACUCAUCUGGAUGCAGUUCAAAUAACAAUGUCACUUUCUGACUGCCUCAAGGAUCUGACAGGAGGAAUUGAGUAUGCUGCCAAGAUAUUAAAUGAAAUUCCCCAGAAAGACAUUCAGUGCACUAAAAGAGCCUCAAAGGCAGAAAGGGAAGGAAAUGGGCAAGGAUGGCUGUGGGCCUGAAGGCCGGCAGCAUGGAUGUUGCACGACUUACUGCGAUUGCUGCUUUGCUGGCACUCCAGGAUGAACCAAACACCAUCAGAAGCAGUGUGAGCUGUCAGAAUAGGACUGCCCAUAUUUCUUCAACUGGAAGCAUCAACACCUGGUGAUGCACUAGGGUGGUCUUACGGGCCCUUUCAAGGCCAGUGUAUUCUUGUGUCAACCUGAGGAAGCCUGUGACUAGAGCAGCUUGUCCUUAACCAGCAUUGUAUCAUAUUGGCUCAAU